ACGAACGCUGGCGGCGUGCUUAACCCCUGCCAGUCGUACGGUAAGGCCCUUUCGGGGGUACACGAGUGGCGACCGGGUGAGUAACACGUGAGUAACCUGCCCACAACUUUGGGAUAACGCUAGGAAACUGGUGCUAAUACUGGAUAUGUGCUCCUGCUGCAUGGUGGGGGUUGGAAAGCUCCGGCGGUUGUGGAUGGACUCGCGGCCUAUCAGCUUGUUGGUGGGGUAGUGGCCUACCAAGGCGGCGACGGGUAGCCGGCCUGAGAGGGUGACCGGCCACAUUGGGACUGAGAUACGGCCCAGACUCCUACGGGAGGCAGCAGUGGGGAAUAUUGCACAAUGGGCGCAAGCCUGAUGCAGCAACGCCGCGUGCGGGAUGACGGCCUUCGGGUUGUAAACCGCUUUCAGCAGGGACGAAGCUUUUUGUGACGGUACCUGCAGAAGAAGCACCGGCUAACUACGUG
Molecule: ribosomal RNA, 464 nt
Filed under: uncultured bacterium
Lineage: Bacteria
Description: partial 16S ribosomal RNA
Rfam family: Bacterial small subunit ribosomal RNA
Source: RNAcentral